This 460-nucleotide ribosomal RNA is filed under the name uncultured bacterium. RNAcentral's name for it is "partial 16S ribosomal RNA". It matches the Rfam family "Bacterial small subunit ribosomal RNA", at positions 338 to 795 of the family's 1533-position model. The record is from RNAcentral.
CCUACGGGAGGCAGCAGUGAGGAAUAUUGGUCAAUGGACGAGAGUCUGAACCAGCCAAGUAGCGUGAAGGAUGACUGCCCUAUGGGUUGUAAACUUCUUUUAUAAAGGAAUACAACGAGGCACGUGUGCCUUUUUGCAUGUACUUUAUGAAUAAGGAUCGGCUAACUCCGUGCCAUCAGCCGCGGUAAUACGGAGGAUCAGAGCGGUAUACGGAUUUAUUGGGUGUAAAGGUAGCGUAGAUGGGUUGUUAAGUCAGUUGUGAAAGUUUGUGGCUCAACCGUAAAAUUGCAAUUGAUACUGGCAGUCUUGAGUACAGUUGAGGUAAGCGGAAUCCGUGGUGUAGCGGUGAAAUGCUUAGAUAUCACGAAGAACCCCGAUUGCGAAGGCAGCUUACUAAACUGUGACUGACAUUGAUGCUCGAAAGUGUGGGUAUCAAACAGGAUUAGAUACCCCAGUAGUC